This 283-nucleotide ribosomal RNA is filed under the name uncultured Lachnospiraceae bacterium. Its description in RNAcentral is "partial 16S ribosomal RNA". The stretch from base 44 to 283 matches the Rfam family "Bacterial small subunit ribosomal RNA", at positions 100 to 339 of the family's 1533-position model. The record is from RNAcentral. Lineage: Bacteria; Bacillati; Bacillota; Clostridia; Lachnospirales; Lachnospiraceae.
UUUUACAGAUUUCUUCGGAAUGAAGUUUUAGUGACUGAGUGGCGGACGGGUGAGUAACGCGUGGGUAACCUGCCUCACACAGGGGGAUAACAGUUGGAAACGGCUGCUAAUACCGCAUAAGCGCACAGUACCGCAUGGUACAGUGUGAAAAAACUCCGGUGGUGUGAGAUGGACCCGCGUCUGAUUAGCUAGUUGGUAGGGCAACGGCCUACCAAGGCGACGAUCAGUAGCCGACCUGAGAGGAAGGUCCCCCACAUUGGAACUGAGACACGGCCCAAACUCC